Pristis pectinata (smalltooth sawfish) is the source of this 74-nucleotide non-coding RNA. NCBI's taxonomy places the organism in Eukaryota, Metazoa, Chordata, Chondrichthyes, Rhinopristiformes, Pristidae. The record is from the annotation of a RefSeq genome assembly.
GUCCGGCGAGCUCGGUUGUUAAGAGCAUGGGACUCCUAAUCCCAGGGUCGUGGGUUCGAGCCCCACGUUGGGCG